This 252-nucleotide ribosomal RNA is filed under the name uncultured bacterium. Its description in RNAcentral is "partial 16S ribosomal RNA". It matches the Rfam family "Bacterial small subunit ribosomal RNA", at positions 524 to 776 of the family's 1533-position model. The record is from RNAcentral.
UACGGGGGGGGCAAGCGUGUUCGGAAUUACUGGGCGUAAAGGGCCAGUAGGCGGCCAACUAAGUCCGACGUGAAAUCCCAAGGCUUAACCUUGGAACUGCGUCGGAUACUGGAUGGCUUGAAUUCGGGAGAGGGAUGCAGAAUUCCAGGUGUAGCGGUGAAAUGCGUAGAUAUCUGGAGGAAUACCGGUGGCGAAGGCGGCAUCCUGGACCGACAUUGACGCUGAACGGCGAAAGCUAGGGAGCGAAACGGG